RNAcentral lists this ribosomal RNA (459 nucleotides) under uncultured bacterium. RNAcentral describes it as "partial 16S ribosomal RNA". It matches the Rfam family "Bacterial small subunit ribosomal RNA", at positions 338 to 795 of the family's 1533-position model. The record is from RNAcentral.
CCUACGGGUGGCUGCAGUGAGGAAUAUUGGUCAAUGGGCGGGAGCCUGAACCAGCCAAGUCGCGUGCAGGAUGAAGGUACUUCGUAUUGUAAACUUCUUUUGUCGGGGAACAAAGGCGCAGACGCGUCUCCGGAUGCGUGUACCCUAAGAAAAAGCAUCGGCUAACUCCGUGCCAGCAGCCGCGGUAAUACGGAGGAUGCGAGCGUUAUCCGGAUUUAUUGGGGUUAAAGGGUGCGCAGGCGGGAGAUCAAGUCAGUGGGAAAAGUUCGGGGCUCAACCCGGGCCGGCCGUUGCAACUGGUGUGCUAGAGUUGGAGAGAAGUAGGCGGAAUUCGUGGUGUAGCGGUGAAAUGCAUAGAUAUGACGAAGAACUCCGAUUGCGAAGGCAGCAUACCGGCGCCAUACUGACGCUGAGGCACGAAAGCGUGGGGAUCGAACAGGAUUAGAUACCCCAGUAGUC